GGCAACGUGGCUGAGUGGUUAUAGCGUACGACUAGAAUUUAUAGAAUUUAUUCUAUAUCAUCUUGCAAUCGUAUCCCUUCGGGGUCGUAGGUUCAAAUCCUGCCGUUGUCG
Xylaria cubensis is the source of this 111-nucleotide non-coding RNA. Lineage: Eukaryota; Fungi; Ascomycota; Sordariomycetes; Xylariales; Xylariaceae. The record is from the annotation of a GenBank genome assembly.